This 86-nucleotide ribosomal RNA is filed under the name Aquimarina algiphila. Lineage: Bacteria; Pseudomonadati; Bacteroidota; Flavobacteriia; Flavobacteriales; Flavobacteriaceae. The record is from RNAcentral.
CUCACCUCUUACCAUUCCGAACAGAGAAGUUAAGCCCAUUAGCGCCAAUGGUACUACAAUCGUGGGAGAGUAGGUCGCCGCCUUCC